This 453-nucleotide ribosomal RNA is filed under the name uncultured bacterium. Its description in RNAcentral is "bacterial SSU rRNA". It matches the Rfam family "Bacterial small subunit ribosomal RNA", at positions 340 to 786 of the family's 1533-position model. The record is from RNAcentral.
UACGGAAGUCAGCAGUGGGGAAUAUUGCACAAUGGGCGAAAGCCUGAUGCAGCUAUGCCGCGUGUAUGAAGAAGGCCUUAGGGUUGUAAAGUACUUUCAUCGGGGAGGAAAAACAAAACUAAUAAUUUUAUUUCUUGACGUUACCCGAAAAAGAAGCACCGGCUAACUCCGUGCCAGCAGCCGCGGUAAUACGGAGGGUGCUAGCGUUAAUCAGAAUUACUGGGCGUAAAGAGCACGUAGGUGGUUUUUUUAAGUCAGAUGUGAAUCCCUGGGCUUAACCUAGGAACUGCAUUUUGAAACUGAAAUACUAGAGUAUCGUAGAGGGAGGUAGAAUUCUAGGUGUAGCGGUGAAAUGCGUAGAUAUCUGGAGGAAUACCUGUGGCGAAAGCGGCCUCCUAAACGAAUACUGACACUGAGGUGCGAAAGCGUGGGGAGCAAACAGGAUUAGAUACC